GAUGAAGAACGCAGCGAAAUGCGAUAAGUAAUGUGAAUUGCAGAAUUCAGUGAAUCAUCGAAUCUUUGAACGCACAUUGCGCCCGCCAGUAUUCUGGCGGGCAUGCCUGUUCGAGCGUCAUUAUCAACCCUCAAGCCCGGCUUGCCGUUGGGUCCCACCGUCGGACGACGGCGGUGGAUCCGAAAGAUAAUGGCAGAGUCUGCGGGACCCUGGAUGCAGCGAGCUUCUUUUCAGCACGCAUCGUAACGGCCUCGCGGGCUCCGUCUCAACCCGAAUCUCACUCUGGUUGACCUCGGAUCAGGUAGGGAUACCCGCUGAACUUAAGCAUAUCAAUAAGCGGAGGA
This 344-nucleotide unclassified non-coding RNA is filed under the name soil metagenome. RNAcentral's name for it is "partial contains 5.8S ribosomal RNA, internal transcribed spacer 2, and large subunit ribosomal RNA". The stretch from base 1 to 120 matches the Rfam family "5.8S ribosomal RNA", at positions 35 to 154 of the family's 154-position model. The record is from RNAcentral.